Molecule: long non-coding RNA, 2593 nt
Filed under: Sus scrofa (pig)
Lineage: Eukaryota; Metazoa; Chordata; Mammalia; Artiodactyla; Suidae
Description: lncRNA (ENSSSCG00005045801.1)
Source: RNAcentral
AUGCCACAGCUGGAAUCCCCCACAUUCCUCCCUGCCGGGGCUGCCCACCUGGCUGCAGCUGGCAGCAGGUGUGUUCUUACAAUGCAGUUACACAAACACACACAAGGCCUCACAAAGUCUUAUACAUCUUUUGGGUCACGGUCACAGGUGCUCUCAAAAUCAGCCAUAGAAAUGGCACACACAAAGUCACAAAAAGAUACGCAGACCACACACACCCAGAGACACUCAGACACACAAGAUCAUCCACGAUCACACCCAGUUAUGUCACACCGAUACCCAAAGACACACACAGGCAUUCCCAAUGCACUAGUGGGACACUUAGGCCAGUCCGCAGCUGCACACAAAGUUCCCACAGACACACACUCACAAGUGCCCUGGCAGCUCAGCCUUGCAGGGCCGAGGACAGGCAGGCGGCGGGGCUUCCUGUGGCUACUGCUCAUCUGGAGGCAAGAGAAGGAGCUGGGGAAACAUUUCAUUUGCAGCCGGCUGGAGACCCACCCCACCCUCCCUGGAAACCUGGCCCCGGCUCCUGAAUGGGGCCUCUGUAUGCCGCCACCGCCCAGCUGACCAGGGUGUGGGGAUCAGGGGGGUGAGGCCGGCCACACGGAGUCCCUGGCUGAGCUUCAGAAGCCACCCAGCCACAUGCCAGGGCCCUAGCUAGAGUCCCCCAGACCCAAGGAGUCCUCUUCCCCCCUCCCCCCACCACAUCUGGAGGCCACUCCCCAAACCCAGGCUGCACAGGAAGGCAGAGGGGCAAGACAGGGCCCCAGCUGGUGCUGGAUCUCCAGGUGUCCCAUCUCAGGCCUAAGGAUGUCCUCAGACUGGGCAGCCACCAGUCCCCAUGCCAUAAGGCCUCUCAGUCCAGCACAAAGACAUGACACCAUGGCUAUAUGUGACAGCAUAGCUGAGGAUGUAACAGUGUAGCUGUCUGUGACAGUGUAGCUGGGCUCCCAGUGCAGCCUAGGGGUGGGGAUGGGGCAGUCAUAGCCCCUUGGCUCUUGUCAUCACACACUCACUAUCACACACAUAGUGUCACCAUCACACCUUCCAUCACACAGCCACACACAGCCACACUAUCUCAUCUUCAGCCAUACUGUAACACACAACCACACUGUCACACAUGCUGUCACACACAGCCAGGCUGUCACAUCUUCAGCCAGACACAGAGCCACACUGUCAUACCUUCAACCAGCAACACUGUCUGUCACACCCUCAGCCAUGCCGUCACACACAGAAAUACUGUCACAGCCUCCAUGAUUCUGGUCACAUGUACCUUCAACCACGCUGUCUCACACAUCCUCACACUGGGUGCCCCUGCAGCUCUGCUAGCCACAUGGCCACAUGGAGUCACUACCUGACUGGUCACAAGGAGGGGAAGCAGAUCUGAUCACUUCAUCCCCAGGGUGUAGCAUGCACCUGCCCUGCAAGCAAUGUUUAAACCAACCAGUUGCAACAAUACUGCAACAACACACCCUGAUUGUCACAGAGCAGGUAGCCAGCAGGUACAGGCCACUGCCGAAUUGCUCACAGACAUUCUGAUAACAUGUACUUAGGAUCCCACUGUUGAAGGUAACAGGCACACAUCUCAUACUGCUGUACAAUGCCCAGUCCUUGGGCAGAGGUACAAAGAAGCAGUGGGUGACAGCCACAGCAUGGUUAUAAGACAUCCUGUCACUCUCCCCAGUGCCUGUCACAGGAUUGAGACAGCCCCUUAGCCAUCCCAACAAGCAGCCUGGCACACUGACAUGAUAGACACUAAGAAGUCCUCCAGCCCCCCAAAUCAUGGAGAUGGGGAGAGGCCUGCACUGCUACCUCCCUUUCCCCACUUCAGUUGGUGCCUGGAGAGCAGGGGGGCUAAUGGAUGCGCAGCUGUAGGCAGUGGGUGCCAGCCCCCCACCUCAUGAAUAUUCAUCAGCUGGGGCUCUCGUGAACCUGUGGGGAGUCCGAGGUCCCAGGCAGCUGGGCACCCCCUUCUAUGCCAGGAGGCCCUCAGGUGAGAGGGAGCUCAGCCGAGUCCUGGCAAUCUUUGGAACCCACACCCAGUUACAAACAUAAGCACACAUGUUUGUGAACAUGGACCCCCAGACACACAAAGAACCAUCACACAAACUCACAAUCACACCCUAAAACAGGACCAUCCACCAUCACACACACAGUCAUAGACACGCACACCAGGUAUCCAAACACACUAUCACAUGAACUCACAAUCACAAACACAUAAUCACACUCAAACCACAGACACUCACCGUCUCUGUCUCUCUCACAUCCACCCCUCAGGCAUGCACACACGGACACACGCAGUCACGCAAAUUCACAAGCACACAAUCACAUCCAAACCACAGAUGCCUACCACACAUGCACACACACAGAGCAUACAAACACAGUCACAGGACUGCAAACACAUAGGUACAUCAUCACACCCAAACCACACACUCACCAUCACACACAGGCAUGAAAAUACACACACACACACACACACACACACACACACACACACAGAAACACACAAGAUCUCUCUCUCUCUGCCCACCCCCUGACGUUUUCCAGAAGGGGAAACUGAGAUACUGAGUAGCUGAAGGCUCCUUGAAGGAGG